RNAcentral lists this long non-coding RNA (958 nucleotides) under Marmota monax (woodchuck). The record is from RNAcentral. Lineage: Eukaryota; Metazoa; Chordata; Mammalia; Rodentia; Sciuridae.
AAAAGUAUAACGUUGUUAAAUGAAUUAGUUAAGGUUGUAUACAUUGACACGCAAAUAUAUUCAUUUUAUACACAUAAAUAUGUAUGACACACCGAUGAAUAUGUACUAAAAUUAUUAUAGAUGAUACCCUAAGACUUCUUCCUCCUCCUUCUUCUCCUUCAUCUUUUGUACUGGGGAUUGAACCCAUGGGUACUUUACCACCCAGAUACAUCCCCAAUCUAUUAUUUAUUUACUUAUUUAGUUUUGUUGUUGUUUUGCUUUUUUGGUACUGAGAAUUGAACCCAAGGGCUCUCUAUGAUGGAGCUACACCCCCAGCUCAAUUUUAUGUUUUGAGACACGGUCUUGCUAAUUUUCCCAGGCUGGCCUUCAACUUGGGAUCCUCCUGCUUUAGCUUCCAAAGUAGCUGGAUUAUGGGUAUGCACCACUGUGCCUAAGUUUUAGCUCAUUUAAUAGCCUUACUUUGAUACAGGAAUCCCAAAUUACAUAUCAUCACCCAAUUACAAUACUUUUUCAGCUGAAGUACAUGAUGAUUAGUGUGUACUGAUUCAACUACUCGCCAGUACACCUGGACAGAUUUCACAGCUCUUUUACACAGGCAAUUCUAACAUCCUGGCUGAAGUCCAUUCUCUAGAUAGUUUAACUUUAAAAAUUAGUUCCCUUCUAAAGAUCCCAUCUGUGCACCAGAUGGCCCCAUGCCAAUAACUUUCCACUUCAAAUGGGACUCAAUUUAUCUUUGUCAGCAAGCAGAAGUAUUACCUGUUUUCCUGUCCUUCUUAUCCAUGUAGAAAUGAGACACCAAAACCCUUAACCCCAAUAUUCUCAAUAAUAAUAAUAACAAUAAGCAGUUUUAGAACAGAAAGUUAGGGAGACUAGGCUGUUGGGUGCAGAGUGGGGAAAAAAAUUGAAUAUCCACAGAGAGGUCUGGGAGGAAGCAAAAGGAACUCAGAAGAGUCAACAG